RNAcentral lists this ribosomal RNA (471 nucleotides) under uncultured bacterium. RNAcentral describes it as "bacterial SSU rRNA". It matches the Rfam family "Bacterial small subunit ribosomal RNA", at positions 335 to 798 of the family's 1533-position model. The record is from RNAcentral.
ACUCCUACGGGAGGCAGCAGUAGGGAAUCUUCCACAAUGGGCGAAAGCCUGAUGGAGCAACGCCGCGUGGGUGAAGAAGGUCUUCGGAUCGUAAAACCCUGUUGUUAGAGAAGAAAGUGCGUGAGAGUAACUGUUCACGUUUCGACGGUAUCUAACCAGAAAGCCACGGCUAACUACGUGCCAGCAGCCGCGGUAAUACGUAGGUGGCAAGCGUUAUCCGGAUUUAUUGGGCGUAAAGGGAACGCAGGCGGUCUUUUAAGUCUGAUGUGAAAGCCUUCGGCUUAACCGGAGUAGUGCAUUGGAAACUGGAGACUUGAGUGCAGAAGAGGAGAGUGGAACUCCAUGUGUAGCGGUGAAAUGCGUAGAUAUAUGGAAGAACACCAGUGGCGAAAGCGGCUCUCUGGUCUGUAACUGACGCUGAGGUUCGAAAGCGUGGGUAGCAAACAGGAUUAGAUACCCCUGGUAGGAAAG